CAGUAGCCGCGGGAAUACGAACCGUGCGAACGUUAUUCGGAAUCACUGGGCUUAAAGCGCGUGUAGGCGGGCCGUCACGUCGUUCGCUGAAAUCCCCCGGCUCAACCGGAACAGUGCCUUGAAUACUGGGAGACUUGAGUUUGGCAGAGGAUAGUGGAAUUCCUGGUGUAGCGGUGAAAUGCGUAGAUAUCAGGAGGAACACCCAUGGCGAAGGCAGCUAUCUGGGCUAAAACUGACGCUGAGGUGCGAAAGCGUGGGGAGCGAACGGGAUUAGAUACCCCCGUAGUCCCUGUCUCUUAUA
RNAcentral lists this ribosomal RNA (301 nucleotides) under uncultured bacterium. Its description in RNAcentral is "partial 16S ribosomal RNA". It matches the Rfam family "Bacterial small subunit ribosomal RNA", at positions 509 to 808 of the family's 1533-position model. The record is from RNAcentral.